RNAcentral lists this ribosomal RNA (305 nucleotides) under uncultured bacterium. Its description in RNAcentral is "bacterial SSU rRNA". It matches the Rfam family "Bacterial small subunit ribosomal RNA", at positions 336 to 639 of the family's 1533-position model. The record is from RNAcentral.
CUCCUACGGGGCGCAGCAGUGAGGAAUAUUGGUCAAUGGGCGGGAGCCUGAACCAGCCAAGUCGCGUGAAGGAAGAAGGUACUUAGUAUUGUAAACUUCUUUUGUCGGGGAACAAAGGCGGAGACGCGUCUCCGGAUGAGUGUACCCGAAGAAAAAGCAUCGGCUAACUCCGUGCCAGCAGCCGCGGUAAUACGGAGGAUGCGAGCGUUAUCCGGAUUUAUUGGGUUUAAAGGGUGCGCAGGCGGGCUGUUAAGCCGGCGGUAAAAAUUCAGGGCUCAACCCUGUCGAGCCGUCGGAACUGGCGG